AGCGAGCGCUGGCGGCAGGCUUAACACAUGCAAGUCGAACGGUCCUUCGGGAUAGUGGCGGACGGGUGAGUAACACGUGGGAACGUACCCUUAGGUUCGGAACAACACAGGGAAACUUGUGCUAAUACCGGCUAAGCCCUUCGGGGGAAAGAUUUAUCGCCUUUGGAGCAGCCCGCGUCUGAUUAGCUUGUUGGUGAGGUAAUGGCUCACCAAGGCUACGAUCAGUAGCUGGUCUGAGAGGAUGGCCAGCCACACUGGGACUGAGACACGGCCCAGACUCCUACGGGAGGCAGCAGUGGGGAAUCUUGCGCAAUGGGCGAAAGCCUGACGCAGCCAUGCCGCGUGGAUGAUGAAGGUCUUAGGAUUGUAAAAUCCUUUCACCGGGGACGAUAAUGACGGUACCCGGAGAAGAAGCCCCGGCUAACUUCGUGCCAGCCGCCGCGGUAA
This 447-nucleotide ribosomal RNA is filed under the name uncultured bacterium. Its description in RNAcentral is "partial 16S ribosomal RNA". It matches the Rfam family "Bacterial small subunit ribosomal RNA", at positions 29 to 523 of the family's 1533-position model. The record is from RNAcentral.